AAUAUUGGGCAAUGGAGGCAACUCUGACCCAGCCAUGCCGCGUGAAGGAUGAAGGCGCUAAGCGUUUAAAACUGCUUUUCCUGGUGAAGAAAAAUUGUCCUCCGGGAUAAAUUGACGGUAUACAGAGAAUAAGCACCCGCUCACUACGUGCCAGCAGCCGCGGUAAUACGUAGAUGGCAAGCGUUGUCCGGAAUUAUUAGGCGUAAACGGAUCGCGGGCGAAUCCUCAAGGCUGAUUCGAAAGU
This 244-nucleotide ribosomal RNA is filed under the name uncultured organism. RNAcentral describes it as "partial 16S ribosomal RNA". It matches the Rfam family "Bacterial small subunit ribosomal RNA", at positions 360 to 601 of the family's 1533-position model. The record is from RNAcentral.